UACGUAGGUGACAAGCGUUAUCCGGAUUUAUUGGGCGUAAAGCGCACGCAGGCGGCCAUUCAAGUCUGACGUGAAAUCUCUCGGCUUAACCGGGAGCGGUCGUUGGAAACUGAGUGGCUUGAGGCGAUGAGAGGGGUGUGGAAUUCCCGGUGUAGUGGUGAAAUGCGUAGAGAUCGGGAGGAACACCCGUGGCGAAGGCGGCCAACUGGGCCGGACCUGACGCUGAGGCGCGAAGGCGUGGGGAGCGAACGGG
RNAcentral lists this ribosomal RNA (253 nucleotides) under uncultured bacterium. Its description in RNAcentral is "partial 16S ribosomal RNA". It matches the Rfam family "Bacterial small subunit ribosomal RNA", at positions 524 to 776 of the family's 1533-position model. The record is from RNAcentral.